This 462-nucleotide ribosomal RNA is filed under the name uncultured bacterium. Its description in RNAcentral is "partial 16S ribosomal RNA". It matches the Rfam family "Bacterial small subunit ribosomal RNA", at positions 28 to 507 of the family's 1533-position model. The record is from RNAcentral.
GACGAACGCUGGCGGCGUGCUUAACACAUGCAAGUCGAGCGGAAAGGCCCUUCGGGGUACUCGAGCGGCGAACGGGUGAGUAACACGUGAGUAACCUGCCCCAGACUUUGGGAUAACCCUCGGAAACGGGGGCUAAUACCGGAUACGACACAGCUUCGCAUGGGGUCUGUGCGGAAAGUUUUUCGGUUUGGGAUGGGCUCGCGGCCUAUCAGCUUGUUGGUGGGGUGAUGGCCUACCAAGGCGACGACGGGUAGCCGGCCUGAGAGGGCGACCGGCCACACGGGGACUGAGACACGGCCCAGACUCCUACGGGAGGCAGCAGUGGGGAAUAUUGCACAAUGGGCGGAAGCCUGAUGCAGCGACGCCGCGUGAGGGAUGACGGCCUUCGGGUUGUAAACCUCUUUCAGCAGGGACGAAGCGUAAGUGACGGUACCUGCAGAAGAAGCGCCGGCCAACUACGUG